Long non-coding RNA from Taeniopygia guttata (zebra finch), 5797 nucleotides. Lineage: Eukaryota; Metazoa; Chordata; Aves; Passeriformes; Estrildidae. The record is from Ensembl.
UUUUUUUUUUUUUUUUUCCCUUGCAUGGUUCUGAGCCAACACAAAUUAUAGCUCAUGAGGGUUUCCAUGCAUUUGUCUUUUACUUUAUUGCUGACUAGGAUGGCCCCUGGCCUGGCUUCCUGCCUUAUUGUUUGAUACAAUCACCAGAGCAUGGAGGAAGCACACUGCCUUCACACUGGAGAAUCUAGACUUUGCUGCUCCCUGGAAACAUGGCCAUUGAUUUAAUUUCAUUAAGUUGCCCCGUCUCAGUUAUAUCACGAGAGAUGGGACUUGUGCACACUCAGUGCAUUUUGUCAUGAAUAAAGUUGUUUUCACCUCCACAUCCACACCUCCCAUUACCUCUUCUUCACAAUGCUACUUACUCAUGGGCAAACUGUACUGAACAGGAACAUUCACAGCCCCCCUUCCCCAGCCUGAGCCCAGCCCCUGCACUCAGGUUGCUGUGAUGAUCUGGUCCUAUUGCUGUUACUUCCUCUGCUCAGCUGAUGCUCUGGUUAAUGCACAAAAAUGUAGCACUGAUUUUCUUUAGUGACUAUUCUAUGUUACAAUUUACGAGUAGAAAUGAAAAAGUAAUUGUAGCUGUGGUCUCCAGAGAUAAAAUCCCUUCAAAGCAGUAGAAUUAGGUCUUACUGCUGCAUCAGCCUUUCCUGUGGGCUCUCAGCAGCCAUUUCAGUCGGCAGUCUGAUUUUUCAUGGUUGGCCUGGAAGAGGACAGGAACUGCAGGUCCACUUUUGUCCUUCAUGUCGGAGUUCAAGAGAGGCAAGAAGUCUGCAAAUGUGUACAACAAUCACAGGGCUGAGCUCUGCCACCCUGGCUCCUGUUGUGGGUGGUCCCCCAAGGUGUUGUGAAGCCUUCAGGGGUGUAUGAAACAUAUGAGGUCCAGUAAAGUAAUUAGUGCUAAAUAAAGUAAAUUUAUUUGAUGUUCUGAUCUGUGUGUCUGUGCAUGCUGUUGUGGACUCGACAAAAAAAACCCAAAACAUUAUGUACAUUUGUGUGUGUGUGUAUAUAUAUAUAUAUAUAUAUAUAUAUAUAUUAGUUUCAUGUGCUGGUUGCUGAAAUCUUCCUUCUUGCAAGCCCAAAACCUAAUGUGUUUUCCAGAUAGGUGUAACCUGUUUGUGGGUUCAGGGUUUCUUGUGAAGGUGUAUUGGGAUUUUGUGGUACUUUGAACUGCCAUGGGCUUUCUCCUCUGAGGGAAACCUCCUGUAUAUCUGGUGUUUUUUCCCUUUGCUUUUUAUAAAAUUCCUAGGCAAAGUCAGAGUAUCUUCAUGGCUUCUGAGUUAAUCUUAGAAGAGCAUCUCUGGGUGUGGUUUGAGGAUGUAAGUCUGACAUAGGGAGCUCAGAUCCUGCCCUUUCUCAGUCCUCACCUGUUUUGUGCUGCUGUGCCUAUUUUCCUUCACAGGCUGUACUAUGUGGAUGGGGAUAGGAUGAUCCUUUGAGUGUUUCCCAUCUGCCAGGGCUUAGGGAUGAGCAUUUGCACUUCCCAGUGCUGCUGUGAGGUUUCUGCUGGCUGGCAGUGCUCUGCUGCUGGGCGCCUCCAUCGCUGUCUCUCACCUGGUGUCUGCAGCGAGCCCCACAUCCCUGCUCAGUGCCAGGGGCUGACCUCCUGGAAACUCUGAGCAUCUCUAGCAGUGACAGUGGGCUACAAAAUGUGGUGAUGCUGAGCCCCCUGCACCCAGAAAACCCCAGCACAUUUCCUAGUCUCUGACAAUUGCGUUGGAGGCAGAACUUUGGGAACUGCAGCGUGUUGGGCUGGCGGUCACAACUUCCCAUCUGCUGUGAGCUCCAAAGCUUUGAAUUUCUUGAGUAAGAGCCAUUUUAUCGUGCAGAGUAUUAAGACUGAAGUGAUGUCUCUGCUUUUAAUAUGAAAGUCCUGUUAUUCUUCAGAAAUGCCAUAAUGAAUUAAAAUAUUCCCUAUGGAGAAGUGCAUUACUUACUUUUGUGUUACAAUAUUGGACUGGAAUAAAAAGCAGCCAGGCUGUCAUUCAUUUCCUGGUCUAGGGACACUAUAAAAGUACUGUAAAGCAAGAAUAGCUUUGCACCACAUUUCUUGAAUUCAGUGAUUGCCCUCUCAAGGUGCCACACAUGAUGGAUUGUCACAGACUCUCUGUCCUGCCUUGACAUUUCAUUCCUAUCCAAUGUUGUCUUGUGUUCUGCUCUGAAUCUGCCAGACAACUGACCCUAGAAUUUAAUGCCACACCUUCUUCUCUUUUCUUUUUCUGAGCAGCAUCCUCUGCAGCUGAGGCUCUGAAAUACUGGAGGACACUGCAUCUUCCUCAGGGACACGGGCAAGGGAGAGCUGGAGCCUCUGGGGGGCUCGGAAGGGAAUUGUGGUUGGUGGUCGCCUGAGGAACUUACCUUCACCCCAAUGUUGCUCUGAAACGAGUCGUGUCCAACAGUCAGGUUUGGUAAGGUAUGUAUUUUUCCCCUGCUCUUGUAUUUUUGCUCUUUUCUGAGUAUCUACAUAUGGGGAAAACAGAGCAUUAGCAGCCUUUGAGUUUAUUGCUGUAUUCAUGCCAUGCUCAUACUGUGUCUGUAAAUAAGCUUUGUUCUCCCUGAAUUUAGAAAGCGUUCACCAGGAGUGAAGUGUUUUUAUUGUCUUGGGCUUGAGGGGGUGUCUGUUCAUGUGAUGUUCUUUAUUAAACGAAAUGCUUGCUGAUGGUUGUGUGUUGCUGCUGGUGAUGGAUACUUGGUGAUAGGAAUCCAUGUUUUGAAAAUCCCACUUGUUGUGUUUCACUAAUGACUAUAAUUCUGAGGGUCAGAGUUGGGGAGUAUAAAAGGAAAUGAAGUAGCCCAUUUAUAAUUAGCCCUGUGCUUUUCUUUGUGCUCUGUAUAUUCUCACUGUGUGCAAAGGAUGGAAAUACCACUACCAAUUUCCUGUAUAAUUGUAUUCCCCCUUUGUUGUGUAGCACUUAAAAUUUUUGCCUGUGUGAGUGUUCUCAUAUCCACACAGAUGUUGCCCUGGCUAUGCUGGAACUAUAGCAAAGCAAUAUGCAACCAUUUUCUAACAAGAAACUGAAGGCUAGGACAUAUUGUUGAUGAAGAUCAUGCUAGAUGAGUUUUUAAGGUAAUAUAGCCUCUGAUUCUAUGGCUUCUUUUGCCUAGAUCAAGUUAUUCCUGUAAAGGCAAAGUUUUCUGAGUAAAUAAAAAAAAAAAAAAAGGGCAAGCAAACAGAUUUAAAGCAAUAGUUCCCAGAUCUCAGUAGAGUGGUAUAAGAUGAUAUUAUCCUUUUUCAUUUAGCACAUGGGUAUUGACUUCCUUCAUAUGACUGAACCAGCACUAUAAUCUUGUUGAGAAAAGUACAGUAGCAAUAUAACACCUGUGCUUGGUGUUAGUGGAGGAGCAGGGAAAAGAAGUCAAGACUUCCUUAAAAGCCUCUAAAAUAAAUAGCACUGCAGGUGAGUGUACAUUACUUCUCCUGCUUUUGAUCUGGUUGCACUUGUCAUGUUAGCUCUGGAAAUUGUUGGCUCUAACUCUGAUGCUCCAGCAAAGCUCUGCCAGUGUCUGGCAAUUGCAAGGAAAAGUUGGUUGGAAUAGCUUAAAUUAGGUGCUUAACUUUUAAAUGUUGAGGGUCAAGAAAGGUCUGUUCCAACCACAGCAUAUGCUGUUAAUUUGUGCAGGAAUUUCAAGCAAACAACACGGUUGCCAGGGCAAGGUUCCCAUCAUUACAGCACAGCACAGCUCUGCUUGUCUGCCUGCUCUGGAUUCUGGAAGAAGAGCUUGUUAGACAUUGCUCCUGCCUUUAUUAUCCUCUUCACUCCUGUUUAUUUCCUAGCUACUGCUCUUGUGAUUAUAACACUUAAAGGGAAGGUUGUAGGAGAGGUAUUUCUUGAUCAAGAGAGCUUCUGCACUCUUGCAGAGAAAAAUUUGGCACUGUUAGAAUAUAGAAAUCACAGCAGUUUUGUUUAUUCCUUGUUUGGGUUUGAGAUUUUUGAGUUGAAAUAUGUAAAUCUUCCUUGCAGUGAGUUUUGCUGGGUACCCAGGGUGUCCCAGGGCGUGUGAGGAUCUGCUCCAGAGAUGUUGGUUGUUGGUGGUGCUGCUCCUGCCUUGGGUGGGGGGCAGUAAAUGAGCUCUCCUGUCAUUCCUGAGCCAGUCCAAAUCUCACUGUAAGGUCUAGAUAAAUGAUUUGUGUGAAACUAUUAUUAAGGUAUAAAUAAUAGUCUAGGUUGGACUUCAUACUUCUGCAUUUUACUUUUUGACCAUCAGAUCUAAAACUUGGUUCUUAUUUAAAUCUCACACUUCUGGAAACUUCUUUAAGAAGAACAUUGCACUUUGAGAAGGUUGUGCCAAACUAUAAAGAUUUGGCCAAAUUCUUGUUGCUCACUUGAGUAGAUGAGGUCUUUCCUUAUUGAUUCUCUUCAUCUCAGGUGACUACCAGAGUACUUGAAUUCCAUCAAUUUAUCUCUUCCCAUAACACCCUUGUAAGACAGAAGUGCUGCUUAUCCCCAUUUUGUAAAUGGUGAAUAAGAAACAGAAUCACCUCUAGGUCACUUUUAAGUGGCAAACAUCUGUCCCUAAUUUUCAGGCAGUUUUAGUGCACAAGCUGCAUCCCACACCCACAGCUGGGGGCACACAGCCCUGGCUGAGCACAAGGUUUAGUUGUGGAUCUUUCUGAGGUCACUGCUCCCACCUAAUCCAGUUUCUUCCAUGUGUCCUGCCCUCCCAAGUAGAGAGGGUUUUAAUUAAGUGAUUACAGUAACACUUAAUGACACCAGGACUCAACGUUUCCCUCCCUAUCUCUACUGAAAACUGAAACAUCUGUUCAGAUAAUGUGAGCUGAAUUCAUUCAUCUUUGCAGCAGAGUGUUUGCUCACGUGAGACGAGCAGAUUUCCCUUUUAGCAACAUUUAUGAAAUUGUGCUGAUGGUAAUUUUAUUGCAUGAGGAAUUAGUUUAAAUGGAUCUGCAGAUAAUGUGCAGAGAAGUAGUUUUUUUCUGAAAUUGCUCAUUUUUGGAUUAGUAGAAUCUGGUUAGUAAAAUAGUCUGUUCGGCUGAAAAGGCACUUUUAAUAAAUAUGUAAGAGAAAUUUUUAAGUAGCCAUUAAACACAGUUAAUAAAUUUUAUCUUGCAAGUAGAAUUGAAAAAAAACCUGUUCAUUUAAUGUGUUUUAUGGCUCUCAUAGCAAUUAAUUGUCUUCAUUACAUGAACAUAAAUCCUUAAUGUAAUUCACCUUUUUCAGAUUAAUUUCUAUGGAAAUUUUCCCUUUGCUUUGUUUAGACUAGUAAUAUUAUUUUUCUUUUCUAAAAGUCGAAUCUCAACAUCACAUUUUUUUACCUUUUCCAGAUGUUCUGUAAAUCAGUUCCAGUUAAAAAAAUCUCUUUGUGCCCCAGGCCAGUGCAGGGGUGGUGUUGCAGCUGUGAUGCUCUGAUCAGGUGAAGCAGAGACUGCAAGCCCUGCUUGACCUCUGUCAUUCAUUGCAUUAUGUGGUCUGAUGAAAACUUACUAUUUCUUUCUUCAAUUUUUUCUUGUUUCUUAUAUGAUUUCAUUUCUUAAAUCAGGAAAAAACCCUCUGAUUUUAUAUGCUUGUGGAUUUGGCUCUCACAGUAAGACCCUAAUGGAACUUUUCAGUGUCUUUGCUGAGGGGUACAGGUGUCUGAAAAUUUGUCAGUAAAAUUGUCCUCCAACAUUAUUGUGGGAAUUUUUUAGUUGGAGCAUCAUGGAAUUCUGCUUGAAUUCCCAAAAUUAAAUUAAAAGCUGUAUUUUGAUUAAAGCCUUUAUUCCCCUAGAUAGAAUUUUUCACACCAAACAGGACAAGAGGACAGCAUGCAGGAUCGUGUUUUACGUUACGUUUUUUUAUCAGGG